This 406-nucleotide ribosomal RNA is filed under the name uncultured bacterium. Its description in RNAcentral is "partial 16S ribosomal RNA". It matches the Rfam family "Bacterial small subunit ribosomal RNA", at positions 30 to 526 of the family's 1533-position model. The record is from RNAcentral.
AUUGAACGCUGGCGGCAGGCUUAACACAUGCAAGUCGAACGAGCGGCGGACGGGUGAGUAAUGUCUGGGAAUCUGGCUUAUGGAGGGGGAUAACGACGGGAAACUGUCGCUAAUACCGCGUACCAUAGGAUGAGCCCAGAUGGGAUUAGGUAGGAGGUGGGGUAAGGGCCUACCUAGGCGACGAUCUCUAGCUGGUCUGAGAGGAUGACCAGCCACACCGGGACUGAGACACGGCCCAGACUCCUACGGGAGGCAGCAGUGGGGAAUAUUGCACAAUGGGCGCAACCCUGAUGCAGCCAUGCCGCGUGAGUGAAGAAGGCCUUCGGGUUGUAAAGUACUUUCAGUGAGGAGGCGUUAAUCACAGAAGAAGCACCGGCUAACUCCGUGCCAGCAGCCGCGGUAAUUC